AUUGAACGCUGGCGGCAUGCCUUACACAUGCAAGUCGAACGGCAGCACGGGAGCAAUCCUGGUGGCGAGUGGCGAACGGGUGAGUAAUAUAUCGGAACGUGCCCAGUCGUGGGGGAUAACGUAGCGAAAGCUACGCUAAUACCGCAUACGAUCUAUGGAUGAAAGCGGGGGAUCGCAAGACCUCGCGCGAUUGGAGCGGCCGAUAUCAGAUUAGGUAGUUGGUGAGGUAAAGGCUCACCAAGGCGACGAUCAGUAGCUGGUUUGAGAGAACGACCAGCCACACUGGAACUGAGACACGGUCCAGACUCCUACGGGAGGCAGCAGUGGGGAAUUUUGGACAAUGGGGGCAACCCUGAUCCAGCGAUGCCGCGUGAGUGAAGAAGGCCUCGGUUGUAAG
This 397-nucleotide ribosomal RNA is filed under the name uncultured bacterium. RNAcentral describes it as "bacterial SSU rRNA". It matches the Rfam family "Bacterial small subunit ribosomal RNA", at positions 30 to 429 of the family's 1533-position model. The record is from RNAcentral.